This 484-nucleotide ribosomal RNA is filed under the name uncultured bacterium. Its description in RNAcentral is "partial 16S ribosomal RNA". It matches the Rfam family "Bacterial small subunit ribosomal RNA", at positions 30 to 507 of the family's 1533-position model. The record is from RNAcentral.
AUUGAACGCUGGCGGCAGGCCUAACACAUGCAAGUCGAGCGGAUGAAGGGAGCUUGCUCCUGGAUUCAGCGGCGGACGGGUGAGUAAUGCCUAGGAAUCUGCCUGGUAGUGGGGGAUAACGUCCGGAAACGGGCGCUAAUACCGCAUACGUCCUGAGGGAGAAAGUGGGGGAUCUUCGGACCUCACGCUAUCAGAUGAGCCUAGGUCGGAUUAGCUAGUUGGUGGGGUAAAGGCCUACCAAGGCGACGAUCCGUAACUGGUCUGAGAGGAUGAUCAGUCACACUGGAACUGAGACACGGUCCAGACUCCUACGGGAGGCAGCAGUGGGGAAUAUUGGACAAUGGGCGAAAGCCUGAUCCAGCCAUGCCGCGUGUGUGGAGAAGGUCUUCGGAUUGUAAAGCACUUUAAGUUGGGAGGAAGGGCAGUAAGUUAAUACCUUGCUGUUUUGACGGUACCAACAGAAUAAGCACCGGCUAACUUCGUG